GAUGAACGCUGGCGGCGUGCUUAACACAUGCAAGUCGAACGGAAAGGCUCCUGCUUGCAGGGGUACUCGAGUGGCGAACGGGUGAGUAACACGUGGGUGAUCUGCCCUGCACUUCGGGAUAAGCCUGGGAAACUGGGUCUAAUACCGGAUAGGACGAUGGUUUGGAUGCCAUUGUGGAAAGUUUUUUCGGUGUGGGAUGAGCUCGCGGCCUAUCAGCUAGUUGGUGGGGUAAUGGCCUACCAAGGCGUCGACGGGUAGCCGGCCUGAGAGGGUGUACGGCCACAUUGGGACUGAGAUACGGCCCAGACUCCUACGGGAGGCAGCAGUGGGGAAUAUUGCACAAUGGGCGCAAGCCUGAUGCAGCGACGCCGCGUGGGGGAUGACGGCCUUCGGGUUGUAAACUCCUUUCGCUAGGGACGAAGCGCAAGUGACGGUACCUGGAGAAGAAGCACCGGCUAACUACGUG
This 466-nucleotide ribosomal RNA is filed under the name uncultured bacterium. Its description in RNAcentral is "partial 16S ribosomal RNA". It matches the Rfam family "Bacterial small subunit ribosomal RNA", at positions 28 to 507 of the family's 1533-position model. The record is from RNAcentral.